GACGAACGCUGGCGGCGUGCUUAACACAUGCAAGUCGAACGGAAAGGCCCUGAUUUUGUGGCGUGCUCGAGUGGCGAACGGGUGUGAAACACGUGAGUAACCUGCCCUUGACUUUGGGAUAACUUCAGGAAACUCGGGCUAAUACCGGAUAGGAGCUCCUGCUGCAUGGGGGGGGUUGGAAAGUGUCGGCGGUUGGGGAUGGACUCGCGGCUUAUCCGCUUGUUGGUGGGGUAGUGGCGUAACAAGGCUUUGACGGGUAGCCGGCCUGACAGGGUGACCGGCCCCAUCGGGACUGGGAUGCGGCCCAGAGGGCUACUGGAGGAAGGAGUGGAGAAUAGUGGACAAAGGGCGGAAGGCUGAUGGAGGAUCGCCGCAUGCGAGAUGACGGUCAUCGGGUAGUAAACCGCUUUCGCCUGUGACGAAACGUGAGGGAGGUUAAUAGGUAGAGAGGCACGGGCAAAUUCGGG
This 467-nucleotide ribosomal RNA is filed under the name uncultured bacterium. RNAcentral describes it as "partial 16S ribosomal RNA". It matches the Rfam family "Bacterial small subunit ribosomal RNA", at positions 28 to 506 of the family's 1533-position model. The record is from RNAcentral.